GUGCCAGCAGCCGCGGUAAUACGUAGGGUGCGAGCGUUGUCCGGAAUUACUGGGCGUAAAGAGCUCGUAGGUGGUUUGUCGCGUUGUCCGUGAAAACUCACAGCUCAACUGUGGGCGUGCGGGCGAUACGGGCAGACUAGAGUACUGUAGGGGAGACUGGAAUUCCUGGUGUAGCGGUGGAAUGCGCAGAUAUCAGGAGGAACACCGGUGGCGAAGGCGGGUCUCUGGGCAGUAACUGACGCUGAGGAGCGAAAGCGUGGGGAGCGAACAGGAUUAGAUACCCUGGUAGUCCACGCCGUAAACGGUGGGUACUAGGUGUGGGUUUCCUUCCUUUAGGGAUCCGUGCCGUAGCUAACGCAUUAAGUACCCCGCCUGGGAAGUACGCUCGCAAGAGUGAAACUCAAAGAAAUUGGCGG
RNAcentral lists this ribosomal RNA (416 nucleotides) under uncultured bacterium. RNAcentral describes it as "bacterial SSU rRNA". It matches the Rfam family "Bacterial small subunit ribosomal RNA", at positions 505 to 916 of the family's 1533-position model. The record is from RNAcentral.